CUAUAUCAAACACUCGCGUUUCAAUAUUUAGGCUACUCCAGCUGUGAGAGCGCUGUAGAGAAAACAUGGACAGCUAUGAGGAUUUCUGCGCACGCAUUCUGUAUGAACUGCAGUCGGAAAUGAUGCGCGAGAAGAGCUGCAGUACCGCACCUGAUCGAGGGGUGGCGCACUCGCUCAUCUGCUUUCAUGGCAGGCCGCUUUUGUCUCCUGUUCUAAGUGAGAAACAAAGAAGGGAGAUGGUUGAAUACAGGAAAAGAGCAAAACAAGUGGAGGCCGAGAAACAGGUUCAUUACAACAAAAAACUCCUCAAUCAGAUUCAGACCAUUCUUUGGACUGAUAAGGCACCAAAAAUAUUGGACGUGCCAAAGCUUUCAGAGCAGUGCCUGUCCCCGUCAACAAAAACAGACUACAGGAAUGGUUUUACAGUACUUGAUACUGCAAAUCUUAC
Molecule: long non-coding RNA, 448 nt
Filed under: Sinocyclocheilus grahami
Lineage: Eukaryota; Metazoa; Chordata; Actinopteri; Cypriniformes; Cyprinidae
Description: lncRNA (ENSSGRG00000033668.1)
Source: RNAcentral